GAUGAACGCUGGCGGCGUGCUUAACACAUGCAAGUCGAACGAAGCACCUUAUUUGAUUUCCUUCGGGACGGAUUAUUUGGUGACUGAGUGGCGGACGGGUGAGUACCGCGGGGGUAACCUGCCUUGUAAAGGGGGAUAACACUGGGAAACGGCUGCUAAUACAGCAUAAGCGCUCAGCAUCCCAUGAUGCAGUGUGAAAAACUCCGGUGGUAUAAGAUGAACCCGCGUUGCAUUAGCUAGUUGGUGAGGUAACGGCCCACCAAGGCGACGAUGCAUAGCCGGCCUGAGAGGGUGACCGGCCACAUUGGGACUGAGACACGGCCCAAACUCCUACGGGAGGCAGCAGUGGGGAAUAUUGCACAAUGGACGAAAGUCUGAUGCAGCGACGCCGCGUGAGCGAAGAAGUAUUUCGAUAUGUAAAGCUCUAUUAGAAGGGAAGAUAAUGACGGUACCUGAAUAAGAAGCACCGGCUAACUACGUG
This 481-nucleotide ribosomal RNA is filed under the name uncultured bacterium. Its description in RNAcentral is "partial 16S ribosomal RNA". It matches the Rfam family "Bacterial small subunit ribosomal RNA", at positions 28 to 507 of the family's 1533-position model. The record is from RNAcentral.